Molecule: ribosomal RNA, 521 nt
Filed under: uncultured bacterium
Lineage: Bacteria
Description: bacterial SSU rRNA
Rfam family: Bacterial small subunit ribosomal RNA
Source: RNAcentral
UCAGGACGAACGCUGGCGGCGUGCCUAAUACAUGCAAGUCGAACGGUCUUUCUAUGGAAGCUUGCUCCACUGAGAAGAUAGUGGCGAACGGGUGAGUAACACGUGGGUAACCUGCCCAUAAGAGGGGGGAUAACAUCCGGAAACGGGUGCUAAUACCGCAUAGUUUUCUUGAUCGCAUGAUCGGGAAAGGAAAGACGGCCUUUGUGCUGUCGCUUAUGGAUGGACCCGCGGCGUAUUAGUUAGUUGGUGAGGUAACGGCUCACCAAGACGAUGAUACGUAGCCGACCUGAGAGGGUGAUCGGCCACAUUGGGACUGAGACACGGCCCAAACUCCUACGGGAGGCAGCAGUAGGGAAUCUUCCGCAAUGGACGAAAGUCUGACGGAGCAACGCCGCGUGAGUGAAGAAAGGUUUUCGGAUCGUAAAACUCUGUUGUCAGAGAAGAACAAGUUGGAGAGUAACUGCUCCAGCCUUGACGGUAUCUGACCAGAAAGCCACGGCUAACUACGUGCCAGCCGCUGC